GGAUCAUUGUUGAGCCUGCCCAGUAGAAAGACCCACAGAAAGGA
Molecule: ribosomal RNA, 44 nt
Filed under: Ficus racemosa (cluster fig)
Lineage: Eukaryota; Viridiplantae; Streptophyta; Magnoliopsida; Rosales; Moraceae
Description: partial 18S ribosomal RNA
Source: RNAcentral